CAGAGAAUAGUUUAAUUAAAAUAUUAAUUUUGGAGAUUAUCGAUAGAGGUUGACUCUUUCUCUGA
Molecule: transfer RNA, 65 nt
Filed under: Oryctes rhinoceros (rhinoceros beetle)
Lineage: Eukaryota; Metazoa; Arthropoda; Insecta; Coleoptera; Scarabaeidae
Description: tRNA-Pro
Source: RNAcentral